UACGUAGGGUGCGAGCGUUGUCCGGAAUUACUGGGCGUAAAGAGCUCGUAGGUGGUUUGUCGCGUUGUUCGUGAAAAUUCACAGCUCAACUGUGGGCGUGCGGGCGAUACGGGCAGACUGGAGUACUGCAGGGGAGACUGGAAUUCCUGGUGUAGCGGUGGAAUGCGCAGAUAUCAGGAGGAACACCGGUGGCGAAGGCGGGUCUCUGGGCAGUAACUGACGCUGAGGAGCGAAAGCGUGGGGAGCGAACAGG
This 253-nucleotide ribosomal RNA is filed under the name uncultured bacterium. Its description in RNAcentral is "partial 16S ribosomal RNA". It matches the Rfam family "Bacterial small subunit ribosomal RNA", at positions 524 to 776 of the family's 1533-position model. The record is from RNAcentral.